Non-coding RNA from Caenorhabditis elegans, 184 nucleotides. The record is from Ensembl. Lineage: Eukaryota; Metazoa; Nematoda; Chromadorea; Rhabditida; Rhabditidae.
UUCACGGGAGGGCGCCUGAGAUGAUUUGGUGGGGGGUCUAUGUGGGUUUUAACGAGGAAAAAGAAAAAAGGAAAGGACGACCGGGCACACCAACUUUCGAGUCAACUGAUAGAGAAGGAAAAAGCGAAACAAAUAGACCGUCUUGAGACGAAGAGCACAAAAUUCCGGCCCUGAGAGUGGCGCC